Molecule: long non-coding RNA, 277 nt
Filed under: Homo sapiens (human)
Lineage: Eukaryota; Metazoa; Chordata; Mammalia; Primates; Hominidae
Description: HSALNT0255870
Source: RNAcentral
GAGUUAUCCACCAUUACAAGUUCCCCAACCUGCAAAGGAGGACUGGUAUUUUGCUGAAUCUUUGUAAUUCACCAAUUUAUCUACUAUACUUUAUUGUGGAAGAUUAUUCAUUUUCUCAAGCUGUAAUAAAAGAUUUUCUCUAUUUCUUUUCCCAAUCAGCAUUCUCAACGCUAUGCCCUGAAACUCUGUUACAAAUCAUCCAAAAAUGGCCAUGCACUGUGGCUCAAACUUGUAAUACCAGCACUUUGGGUGUAGUGGUGUGUGCCUGUGGUCUCAG